UUGGAGGGCAAGUCUGGUGCCAGCAGCCGCGGUAAUUCCAGCUCCAAUAGCGUAUAUUAAAGCUGUUGCAGUUAAAAAGCUCGUAGUUGAAUUUUGGGAUCAGAGUGUCGGUCGCGCCUCGGUACGCACUGGUAUUAUUGGUUCCUACCUUCUGAAGAACCGCGGUGUCAUUAAUUUGGUGUCGUGGGGAAUCAGGACUGUUACUUUGAAAAAAUUAGAGUGUUUAAAGCAGGCUUACGCUUGAAUACAUUAGCAUGGAAUAAUGAAAUAGGACGUUUGAUUCUAUUUUGUUGGUUUCUAGGAUCGACGUAAUGAUUAAUAGGGAUAGUUGGGGGCAUUAGUAUUCAAUUGUCAGAGGUGAGAUUCUUGGAUUUAUUGAAGACUAACUACUGCGAAAGCAUUUGCCAAGGAUGUUUUCAUUAAUCAAGAACGAAAGUUAGGGGAUCGAAGACGAUCAGAUACCGUCGUAGUCUUAACCAUAAACUAUGCCGACUAGGGAUCGGAUGAUGUUAAUUUUUUAAUGACUCAUUCGGCGCCUUACGGGAAACCAAAGUGUUUGGGUUC
This 564-nucleotide ribosomal RNA is filed under the name uncultured Glomeromycotina. RNAcentral describes it as "SSU rRNA". It matches the Rfam family "Eukaryotic small subunit ribosomal RNA", at positions 548 to 1114 of the family's 1831-position model. Lineage: Eukaryota; Fungi; Glomeromycota. The record is from RNAcentral.